Molecule: long non-coding RNA, 209 nt
Filed under: Citrus maxima (pomelo)
Lineage: Eukaryota; Viridiplantae; Streptophyta; Magnoliopsida; Sapindales; Rutaceae
Description: long non-coding RNA (CMAX_LNC002964)
Source: RNAcentral
UCUCAUUCACAAUUUUACUUUAUACGAGAAUCAAGAGUGGAUGAACAAUUUUUCUUGCCAAAUUAUUCAAUAAUCAAGUCUCUUCCUGCACACAAAAGCAAAUUAAUACAGUUCUAGCGUCUAUCCAUUUAUCUUUGCUUCAGUUUUUGACAUUUCUUCCCCACCAGAAUCUUAAAUUCUUAAUUACUUAGCACAUAAUCCAUAUAAAG